Molecule: ribosomal RNA, 93 nt
Filed under: Chrysis ignita
Lineage: Eukaryota; Metazoa; Arthropoda; Insecta; Hymenoptera; Chrysididae
Also listed under: 11 other names
Description: partial 5.8S ribosomal RNA
Rfam family: 5.8S ribosomal RNA
About the family: 5.8S ribosomal RNA (5.8S rRNA) is a component of the large subunit of the eukaryotic ribosome. It is transcribed by RNA polymerase I as part of the 45S precursor that also contains 18S and 28S rRNA. Functionally, it is thought that 5.8S rRNA may be involved in ribosome translocation.
Source: RNAcentral
CCCUGAACGGUGGAUCACUUGGCUCGUGGGUCGAUGAAGAACGCAGCUAAUUGCGCGUCAACUUGUGAACUGCAGGACACAUGAACAUCGACA